Molecule: ribosomal RNA, 324 nt
Filed under: uncultured bacterium
Lineage: Bacteria
Description: bacterial SSU rRNA
Rfam family: Bacterial small subunit ribosomal RNA
Source: RNAcentral
GACGAACGCUGGCGGCGUGCUUAACACAUGCAAGUCGAACGGAGCACCCCUGAAGGAGUUUUCGGACAACGGAAGGGAAUGCUUAGUGGCGGACUGGUGAGUAACGCGUGAGGAACCUGCCUUUCGGAGGGGGACAACAGUUGGAAACGACUGCUAAUACCGCAUGAUACAUUUGGGCCGCAUGGUCUGAAUGUCAAAGAUUUAUCGCCGAAAGAUGGCCUCGCGUCUGAUUAGCUAGUUGGUGGGGUAACGGCCCACCAAGGCGACGAUCAGUAGCCGGACUGAGAGGUUGGCCGGCCACAUUGGGACUGAGAUACGGCCCAG